Molecule: transfer RNA, 64 nt
Filed under: Isoteinon lamprospilus
Lineage: Eukaryota; Metazoa; Arthropoda; Insecta; Lepidoptera; Hesperiidae
Description: tRNA-Thr
Source: RNAcentral
GUUUAUAUAAUUUAAAUAAAAUAUUGGUCUUGUAAAUCAAAUAUAAGAAUAUUCUUUGUAAACU